GAUGAACGCUAGCGGAAGGCUUAAUACAUGCAAGUCGAGCGGUAGGUGGCUUCGGCCAUUGAGAGCGGCGCACGGGUGAGUAACGCGUACAUGACCUGCCUGUCAGAAGGGGAUAGCCCUGGGAAACUGGGAUUAAUACCCUAUGGUAUUGAUAUUAUGAAUGAUAUCAAUUAAAGUUGAGGCGCUGACAGAUGGAUGUGCGUCUGAUUAGCUAGUUGGUAGGGUAACGGCCUACCAAGGCGACGAUCAGUAGGGGGCGUGAGAGCGUGGUCCCCCACACGGGUACUGAGACACGGACCCGACUCCUACGGGAGGCAGCAGUAAGGAUAUUGGUCAAUGCCCGCAAGGGUGAACCAGCCAUUCCGCGUGGAGGAUGAAGGCCCUAUGGGUUGUAAACUUCUUUUAGAUGGGAAGAAAAUGCUAGAUGUAUCUGGUACUGACGGUACCAUCAGAAUAAGCACCGGCUAACUCCGUGCCAGCAGCCGCGGU
This 489-nucleotide ribosomal RNA is filed under the name uncultured bacterium. RNAcentral describes it as "bacterial SSU rRNA". It matches the Rfam family "Bacterial small subunit ribosomal RNA", at positions 28 to 521 of the family's 1533-position model. The record is from RNAcentral.